Molecule: long non-coding RNA, 1453 nt
Filed under: Anser brachyrhynchus (Pink-footed goose)
Lineage: Eukaryota; Metazoa; Chordata; Aves; Anseriformes; Anatidae
Description: lncRNA (ENSABRG00000019872.1)
Source: RNAcentral
CUUCAAGAUAUGUGGGCCUAGCAAGAGAAGUGUUCAAAUAAGCCUGGAUUAGUAUGUAUUAACUCACUUCAUAUAGAAAAGGUGGUAAAACGCUCUAAUGAAGUCAUAUUGACAAAGAUCAUGCAAUCCUAUGUGUAAAUUUCACUGUCGUGCAUGUAGAAAUGUAUGUAUUGUGUGAAAGUAAUUGUGGGUAUGUUGUGUGUUGAUGUGAAUACUUUGAUAAAUAUUUCCACUCUUGAAACAUGAAGGCACUUAAAUAUACAGUUACUACUGACUGAGUCAAAUAUGUGCUUCUCUUAGUAACAGUAUGAAAAAUUAGAAACUAAUGUAUAAAAUCUGAGAAUGUGGGGGAAGUCAAAGCAGAGUAAUUCUUCUUGAAAGGAAAUGUUGAGGAGGGGAGAUAUGGAUAGAUAUGGAAUGUGCAAAGUGAUGAUAAGAAAACAUACAAUAUACACCUUAAGCUGUUGUUGUAUCAAAAGAACUUUGCUUUCUUAGGCUCUGGAAGAAAAACUACUGGAUAAAAUAAAUUGGUCUGUGGCCUCUUGAACUUGCUAGAAACAACCUUGCUGUCAAGCGCAACGCUAACUUCAGAGAUCUUAGCUGAAAGGUAUUGUCACCCUCCCUCCUCUUCUUCUUUUUCUUCUUCUUUUUUUUUUUUUUUUUCUUCUCCCUGUUCUCUUGGGAAACUAUUUUGUCUAUACUGAUUUGUACCCAUAAGGAGAAAAUGGAUGCAGAUCCAAAAUGUUGCCAGGGAUCGGGAUAGCUCUGACAGUUCUGACGAGGCUAGCAGCCUCGAGAAAAGUCAACCAAGGCUCUUGGCAGCCAACCUGGUUUGGGGCAGGCAAAAUUCUGGUCCAUUUCUGGACUGGUGUCUGGAAGCGUUCAUCCCAUGAUGGCAUAAGUCAUAUCUAACGGAUCAGUUCUGGGCAUAUAUACCCAUUUGCCAUUUUGCAUGCUUCUGUCUCUGCGCAGGUCUGCGCCUAAUGAAUGCCGAGGGAAAUGUUCUUAAUGCUGCUUUUGAGGUAUCACUUCUUUAGAGAAGACAACCAAUUUUACUGUUUACUUUGUUACCAUGUCUCAGAAGUUCCUUCACCUCCUGACUGUGACCCUUACUGUGACCUGCAAAUUGAGGAAGCAGACUUUAGCAACAAAGAUGGAAACACCUCAGAGGAAUAUGUCUGAAGCCUAAUGAGCAGGAAUAUCUUUCAAAUUCACUAAGACAAGCAGGAUCCUUUCUUCUGAAAAAUGGAUGAACAAAACCUUUUUUUCUUCAUCUCUCCCCUUUUAUAUAGCAAUAAUUCUACUGUGUCUGAUUAAGAAGUUUUUUGUUUCUUUCUAGUUCACCAAGUGUCUACUUUCUGUUUUUAAGAGGUUAACAUGACAGCGGUAAAAUCAAUUGUCUCUUUGUAUGUGUCUUUUUCUGACCGAAUAAAAUAUGUUAGGAAUGGUCUCA